RNAcentral lists this ribosomal RNA (253 nucleotides) under uncultured bacterium. RNAcentral's name for it is "partial 16S ribosomal RNA". It matches the Rfam family "Bacterial small subunit ribosomal RNA", at positions 524 to 776 of the family's 1533-position model. The record is from RNAcentral.
UACAGAGGGGGCAAGCGUUAUUCGGAAUUAUUGGGCGUAAAGGGCGCGUAGGCGGCUUGGCAAGUGGAUGGUGAAAUCCCUCGGCUUAACCGAGGAACUGCCGUCCAAACUGCUUCGCUUGAGACCGGGAGAGGGGAGUGGAAUUCCCAGUGUAGCGGUGAAAUGCGUAGAUAUCAGGAGGAACACCGAUGGCGAAGGCAGGUCUCUGGGCCAUAACUGACGCUGAGAAGCGAAAGCACGGGGAGCGAACAGG